Molecule: ribosomal RNA, 447 nt
Filed under: uncultured bacterium
Lineage: Bacteria
Description: SSU rRNA
Rfam family: Bacterial small subunit ribosomal RNA
Source: RNAcentral
AGAACGAACGCUGGCGGCAGGCUUAACACAUGCAAGUCGAACGCGUGUAGCAAUACACGAGUGGCGCACGGGUGAGUAACGCGUGGAUAUCUGCCUUUUGGUUCGGAACAACCCAGGGAAACUUGGGCUAAUACCGGAUAAGCCCUUACGGGGAAAGAUUUAUCGCCGAAAGAUCGGCCCGCGUCUGAUUAGCUAGUUGGUGAGGUAAUGGCUCACCAAGGCGACGAUCAGUAGCUGGUCUGAGAGGAUGAUCAGCCACAUUGGGACUGAGACACGGCCCAAACUCCUACGGGAGGCAGCAGUGGGGAAUAUUGGACAAUGGGCGCAAGCCUGAUCCAGCCAUGCCGCGUGAGUGAUGAAGGCCCUAGGGUUGUAAAGCUCUUUUGUGCGGGAAGAUAAUGACGGUACCGCAAGAAUAAGCCCGGCUAACUUCGUGCCAGCAGCCGC